CAGGCCUUGGACACCGUUUCCAGUGCCCUUCCUCCUUUGUCUGCCUAGAAUCUCCACUCACUCUUCAAGGUCUUGCUGAAACAUCACUUCCUCCAGGAAGCCCUCCCAGCGGAGUCCACAGAAUGUGUAGGUAUCUGGAAUUACAACCCACCGAUAGGCAGAGGGUGAGACGAGGCCGUGAGAACACACGGAGCCCCCAGGGCUUGGAAGCGCUUUCUCCCGGGAGAGAGACUUCUGUUCAUUCGUGAUGACCAGGUGACAUGGCGCAGAAACAUCUCCUUUCGGCUGAGCCAAAUUCCUUCCCAAGUUCUAACCUUCAAGACAUCCUCAAACAACGGUGAACUCAGACUAAGAUCCAUCUUUUGCUAGUGGAGAGCCCCAAAACUCAGAUGGUGCCCACCAACCACCUGCUUCACUCCUCUCCGAAUGGCCA
This is a long non-coding RNA of Bubalus bubalis (water buffalo), 433 nucleotides long. RefSeq lists it as uncharacterized. The transcript has 3 exons. Lineage: Eukaryota; Metazoa; Chordata; Mammalia; Artiodactyla; Bovidae. The record is from RefSeq and is a predicted model, not a curated record.